This 372-nucleotide ribosomal RNA is filed under the name uncultured organism. RNAcentral describes it as "bacterial SSU rRNA". It matches the Rfam family "Bacterial small subunit ribosomal RNA", at positions 526 to 896 of the family's 1533-position model. The record is from RNAcentral.
CAGAGGGUGCGAGCGUUGUUCGGAAUUAUUGGGCGUAAAGCGCGUGUAGGCGGCUUAGUAAGUUGGGUGUGAAAGCCCUCGGCUUAACCGAGGAAGUGCGCCCAAAACUGCUUGGCUUGAGUACCGGAGAGGGUGGCGGAAUUCCCGGUGUAGAGGUGAAAUUCGUAGAUAUCGGGAGGAGCACCAGCGGCGAAGGCGGCCACCUGGACGGAUACUGACGCUGAGACGCGAAAGCGUGGGGAGCAAACAGGAUUAGAUACCCUGGUAGUCCACGCUGUAAACGAUGAGCGCUAGGUGUUGCGGGUGUUGACCCCUGCAGUGCCGCAGCUAACGCAUUAAGCGCUCCGCCUGGGAAGUACGGCCGCAAGGCUA